GGCUGCAACCCGCCUGUAUGAAGUUGGAAUCGCUAGUAAUCGCGGAUCAGCAUGCCGCGGUGAAUACGUUCCCGGGCCUUGUACACACCGCCCGUCACACCAUGAGAGUCGGGAACACCCGAAGUCCGUAGCCUAACCGCAAGGAGGGCGCGGCCGAAGGUGGGUUCGAUAAUUGGGGUGAAGUCGUAACAAGGUAGC
RNAcentral lists this ribosomal RNA (198 nucleotides) under uncultured bacterium. Its description in RNAcentral is "partial 16S ribosomal RNA". It matches the Rfam family "Bacterial small subunit ribosomal RNA", at positions 1303 to 1500 of the family's 1533-position model. The record is from RNAcentral.